GGUGUUGCUGGUGCAGGCGUAUUGUUAACUGAAGGUUGUCGUGGUGAAGGUGCAAUCCUUCGUAACGAUGC
This 71-nucleotide transfer RNA is filed under the name compost metagenome. RNAcentral describes it as "tRNA-Phe". The record is from RNAcentral.